UUUUUUAAUUAGUUUAACAAUCAUAAUUCAGUUAUUAAUGGAAUAAAUUCUCCAUCACAAUCUCUGAAAAAGAUUUUGAAGAAAAAAUUGUUUGGUAAUAAAUUUAAGAAUAAUCAGGAAAAUCUUAAAUGAACAUUGAUGAUUAACUGAUAGAAGAACUGCAUUGCAUAGAGUACAGAACAUCGUAA
Centruroides sculpturatus (bark scorpion) is the source of this 188-nucleotide long non-coding RNA. RefSeq lists it as uncharacterized. NCBI's taxonomy places the organism in Eukaryota, Metazoa, Arthropoda, Arachnida, Scorpiones, Buthidae. The record is from RefSeq and is a predicted model, not a curated record. The transcript is spliced from 2 exons.